This 254-nucleotide ribosomal RNA is filed under the name uncultured bacterium. Its description in RNAcentral is "partial 16S ribosomal RNA". It matches the Rfam family "Bacterial small subunit ribosomal RNA", at positions 99 to 354 of the family's 1533-position model. The record is from RNAcentral.
CGAACGGGUGAGUAAUACAUCGGAACGUGUCCACUCGUGGGGGACAACCAGCCGAAAGGUUGGCUAAUACCGCAUGAGUUCUACGGAAGAAAGAGGGGGACCCGCAAGGGCCUCUCGCGAGCGGAGCGGCCGAUGACUGAUUAGCCUGUUGGUGAGGUAACGGCUCACCAAAGCAACGAUCAGUAGCUGGUCUGAGAGGACGACCAGCCACACUGGGACUGAGACACGGCCCAGACUCCUACGGGAGGCAGCAG